RNAcentral lists this ribosomal RNA (758 nucleotides) under uncultured Pichia. RNAcentral describes it as "SSU rRNA". It matches the Rfam family "Eukaryotic small subunit ribosomal RNA", at positions 804 to 1590 of the family's 1831-position model. The record is from RNAcentral. Lineage: Eukaryota; Fungi; Ascomycota; Saccharomycetes; Saccharomycetales; Saccharomycetaceae.
UUAGCAUGGAAUAAUGGAAUAGGACGUUAUGGUUCUAUUUUGUUGGUUUCUAGGACCAUCGUAAUGAUUAAUAGGGACGGUCGGGGGCAUCAGUAUUCAGUUGUCAGAGGUGGAAUUCUUGGAUUAACUGAAGACUAACUACUGCGAAAGCAUUUGCCAAGGACGUUUUCAUUAAUCAAGAACGAAAGUUAGGGGAUCGAAGAUGAUCAGAUACCGUCGUAGUCUUAACCAUAAACUAUGCCGACUAGGGAUCGGGUGGCGCUUCUUGCCCACUCGGCACCUUACGAGAAAUCAAAGUCUUUGGGUUCUGGGGGGAGUAUGGUUGCAAGGCUGAAACUUAAAGGAAUUGACGGAAGGGCACCACCAGGAGUGGAGCCUGCGGCUUAAUUUGACUCAACACGGGGAAACUCACCAGGUCCAGACGUAAUAAGGAUUGACAAGCUAGAGACUUCUCUUGAUCUUACGGGUGGUGGUGCAUGGCCGUUUUUAGUCCUUGGAGUGAUUUGUCUGCUUAAUUGCGAUAACGGACGAGACCUUAACCUGCUAAAUAGGGCUGCGAGCAUCUGCUCGUGGGCUCUUCUUAGAGGGACUAUGGGUUUCAAACCCAUGGAAGUUUGAGGCAACAACAGGUCUGUGAUGCCCUUAGACGUUCUGGGCCGCACGCGCGCUACACUGACGGAGCCAGCAAGUAUAUCCUUGGUCGAGAGGCCCGGGUAAUCUCGUGAAACUCCGUCGUGCUGGGGAUAGAGCAUUGCAAU